Long non-coding RNA from Scylla paramamosain (green mud crab), 1341 nucleotides. RefSeq lists it as uncharacterized. The transcript is spliced from 3 exons. The record is from RefSeq and is a predicted model, not a curated record. Lineage: Eukaryota; Metazoa; Arthropoda; Malacostraca; Decapoda; Portunidae.
UGUUGCGGCAUUGGGGUGACGUUGGUGGCGCUGUACCACCGAGUAGUGAAGUUGGGCGUUGGCAGCGCUGUAGUGAGCUGUUGGGUGGUAGUGAAGCUGGAGGCCGCCGGUUGGCUAGAGCGCUAGCCAAUCACCCGCAAACCGAGUCUAUGCUGAGAGCUGCCGCCACAGGUAAAGCAGAAUGCGGCCGUGUUCCGCCCACGUAACAUCUGUGUUGACAAGCUAAAAAUACGCCUGCAAUACGCUCCCUUUAUGCUACGCUACGACACUCGUCGCUCGCCGCUACAACUAUGUGACUGCACCCUGAAGCACGCUGUGAGGAUUGCGUGCCCUGGUAGCCCGAGACAAUGGCUACCGGGAGAUGAAGUGUAUGCGCAACACCUGCGUUGUCUGUGACGGCGCGGACUGCGAGCAGAGACAGUGUGUGAUACCGCUUGCGAGUUGUGACGAUUUUGAGUGCUGUACCGCUGCACUGUGAGGUGAGAUACGUUACCCAGCGAUAAGAGACGCUUUACUGAGUGAGGCCAUGUGGUGCGUGCUUUGAUUGUUCUGCGACGUGUUAGUAUACCUCGCACCCUGUAGUGCCGCUCUGUACUUUUAACAAAGACAGGAGUGCCAGGUGAAAUUGUCUCGUUACCCUUCGCCCCUCAGUAGUCCUGAGUCCAGACUGUGAGCGUGUGUGUCUGCCUCGCCCUUAAUAGCCAAACGAACCCGACAGCGACAGCAGUUGUGGAUCCGUUGUGUGUUCUGACCGCCCCUUGUCUGCUGUUAUGUUAAGAAAAAAUGCAAAAAUGGCUGGCAUAGGGAGGCAUGUAGAGGCAUUCAGUGGUUAAGCAAGGCCAUCACUGAAAUUAGAAGUACUGACCUCUGUAGACUUGAUGGUUCAGGCAGCUUAUAACAGAAGAAUGGCCGAUACAGUUGGAGGCCACGUCCCACAGCCCAUGAGGCAACUCUCAGCGGAGGGACGUCUGGGCCUUGGAAUGGCAGCACUGCCCAGGCUGCUGCCCUGCGAGAGCCAGUGUUCCCUUGGCUGUCCUCGUGGCCAGACAGUUCGUCAUUUUAAGUUUUAUGAAUGCUAUUCAUGGAGACAAAAUGAUAACGUCAUAAAUUGAUUCCUCAUAUUCGCAGGAUUAAGGAACACAGACAUAAGUGAAUAGUGAGUUUCUGCUGAUACUUGUAUUUCUUGAUAAAGAUAAAAAAAAAAAAACUACACACACACACACACACACACACACACACACACACACACACACACACACACACAGAGACAGUUAAUAAUACGUAUGAAUGAUCAAGUAAAACUAACUAAACUUAAUGCCUGGAACAAAGAUGGUGAAUGGA